GGAGCGGNAGAGAGAAGCUUGCUUCUCUUGAGAGCGGCGGACGGGUGAGUAAUGCCUAGGAAUCUGCCUGGUAGUGGGGGAUAACGUUCGGAAACGGGAAGCUANNNNCCGGAUACGUCCUACGGGAGAAAGCAGGGGACCUUCGGGCCUUGCGCUAUCAGAUGAGCCUAGGUCGGAUUAGCUAGUUGGUGAGGUAAUGGCUCACCAAGGCGACGAUCCGUAACUGGUCUGAGAGGAUGAUCAGUCACACUGGAACUGAGACACGGUCCAGACUCCUACGGGAGGCAGCAGUGGGGAAUAUUGGACAAUGGGCGAAAGCCUGAUCCAGCCAUGCCGCGUGUGUGAAGAAGGUCUUCGGAUUGUAAAGCACUUUAAGUUGGGAGGAAGGGCAGUUACCUAAUACGUGAUUGUUUUGACGUUACCGACAGAAUAAGCACCGGCUAACUCUGUGCCAGCAGCCGCGGUAAUACAGAGGGUGCAAGCGUUAAUCGGAAUUACUGGGCGUAAAGCGCGCGUAGGUGGUUAGUUAAGUUGGAUGUGAAAUCCCCGGGCUCAACCUGGGAACUGCAUUCAAAACUGACUGACUAGAGUAUGGUAGAGGGUGGUGGAAUUUCCUGUGUAGCGGUGAAAUGCGUAGAUAUAGGAAGGAACACCAGUGGCGAAGGCGACCACCUGGACUGAUACUGACACUGAGGUGCGAAA
Molecule: ribosomal RNA, 702 nt
Filed under: Pseudomonas veronii
Lineage: Bacteria; Pseudomonadati; Pseudomonadota; Gammaproteobacteria; Pseudomonadales; Pseudomonadaceae
Description: bacterial SSU rRNA
Rfam family: Bacterial small subunit ribosomal RNA
Source: RNAcentral